Trifolium pratense (red clover) is the source of this 2344-nucleotide long non-coding RNA. RefSeq lists it as uncharacterized. The record is from RefSeq and is a predicted model, not a curated record. NCBI's taxonomy places the organism in Eukaryota, Viridiplantae, Streptophyta, Magnoliopsida, Fabales, Fabaceae. The transcript is spliced from 4 exons.
GACCGAUUUAGUGACCGAUUUUUUUUGGUCACUUUAGAGACCGAAUUAGUGACCAAUAUGUUGAGCUUUAAAAUAGUGAAAUUUAGAGACUGAAUUAGAGACCGAAAAUUGGAGACCGAAAAAUUUGUCACUUUUAGAGACCGAUUUAGAGACCGAAUGAAAUAAAAUUAGUCUUUUAUAUUAUAUAAAAUAAAAAUCAAAUUAAAAAAAUGUGUUAAUUCUUUUUUAAAAAGAGUCCACUAUUCUUUUUGAACACUCAAAUUUUAGGUGAGAGUUCACCUAAGAACUCAUCUCUUCCCCGCCUCCGUGUGUCUCUAUCUGCUUCUCCACAUCCUUCGAUCUGCUUCACAACACGUUCGCUCUCUGCUUCCAAAUCGAUGUGGUCAUCGUUUCUCCUACGCUCGCUGCUUCUUCUAUUUCAAACAAAUUGAACGGUUUAGCACACCAUGUCGGCCCUUCCUAAGAUGCUUCUUACAUCGAGAAGCUUUACACACAGCGAGCAACAUAACAGUGCCAAGAACAAAUCUCAGGUCAUUCUCACCAUCAUAUUUUUAAUCCCUAAUUUAAUGACUCUUCCUUUUUUAUUUAGGGUUUUAGAUGGUGUUGUUGUUGUUGUUAGAUUUUCUUACAAUUAGGGUUGGGAACUGUCGUUUUACUCUCUCUAUUUCGCUGUUUUUUUUUUCACAAACAUUCGGAUCUUUGGGAAAAUUUUGGUGUUUGAUUUUGUGCUUAAACCUUCUUCCAAUGUUGAAGGUGGGUAGUUGCUUUUAUCUUUACUCUAUAAGGCUUUUAAUUAUUCGAUAUUUGGUUGAUCAAAGUUAUGCUUAUCUUUAGGGUAACAAAAAUACCUAAUUCAAGGGUCCAUAUAUUUUUUAACACAAAUGGUGUGAAUGAAUGAAAGUAAAGGGUAAAGGGUUUGUCCUCUUACGGUAGACAUGUCAUAUGAUCUUUAAAACAAGAUUCAGAAGUGUGAAAGAGUGAUUCCUAAGUUUAAAGAUGCAAGAUUUGGUAAUUAGGUUGAAAUUGUUUUAGCCAAAGCCAAGCAUAGUGGUUCCUAGUCUGUGUAAUAAUUUAAUAUCAAACUGAAUGAAGCUACUGAUUUGUUAAGGUUUUUACUCAUGUUGCUUCUUUGAUUCUUUCUAAUACAAUGCAUACUCCUUAGUUUUCUGAUACAAGGCAUAUUGUUUGCCGUUAACUCACUUCCUUGUUUCAGACAUUGGUGCUUUCAUAUUUCAGACAUUGUUUCACACACUCUUUAAGUUUCAGUUACGUGUGCGACAUCAUGAAUGUUAUUUAAUCCAUGCAUUGAUUUUGUUUCAUGGUUUGAUAUAUAGUUUUUUACUUUUGACGUGUGUAUUCUAAUUUAUGAUGCGUGAGGCUCUGGAUCCAUGUCAAGACCCAACUAUUCUAAACGCUUAAGUACUUGUAAAACUCAUUUAAGGUCCAAAUUUGUUUUAAACAUGAUAAAUUUUUUGGAAUACUUGCGCUUUCAGUUUUCUUCCUACAGUUGUUUUUUUUUUUGUUUAUUUUAUUUUAUUUUAUUGCUACUGGUGCAUAUGAAGAUGAUUUGGCUCUGUUUUUUGUGUCAAUAAUUGCUAGUGAUAUUGUUGGAAAUUAAAUCAAACAAUCUAGAAGAAUUUGCGUUUUCAUGGACUAUAUACUUUCAAGGACUGAAACUUGUUUGGUGGCUCUAUGAUUAUGUUAAAGUUCCACUGGAUGCAUACUUGAUGGACUUUGUGUUCUCUGAGAGUGAACAUGGUGAAGUUUUUUAUAACAAAUUUGGAAUGGACUACCACAUACCUGUUUUUGGUGAUAUUGUGAAGGAACCUCUCCUUUGCAUAUCAUUCAUAUUGCUGUUGAGAUGGCCCCAAUUGCAAAGAAGGUUGAUUCAUUGUUGUUAUGAUCUCCAAUUAUUUUCAAUGAUCGUAAGAUAUUUCACCUUAUAGUACUCAUACUUAAGCUAUGGAACGCAGACUGAGUUAAGACGGCCACUUAGGUCUUGCAGCUAAAUUUUAUUAAACACAUCAUAAUAAUAUAUAGUAUGUAAACUAAAUUCUUUCUUUGUAAUUAUGUUUGUGUCCAUGUAGAGUAUUUCCUCAAAAGUUAUGGAAGCGUUCGAUAAUCGGCCUCUCAGUAAGAUUAAAGGGACCGGUAUGUAGUCAUGGUACCAAGAAUGUAUAUCAUGGAGCAUGUAGAUUAGAGGCUUCUAGUUUGAUACAUACAUGAUGUAAAGCCUUGAUGAACCGAAGCUUUAAUUUAUUUUCUAUAGGAGGUUUAUUUAUUUUGUAAUACUGAAUUUGAAGAAAAAAGCAUUAGUUAAAGCCUUGUUUAAUAUUAUGGAGCA